This 177-nucleotide ribosomal RNA is filed under the name uncultured bacterium. RNAcentral's name for it is "partial 16S ribosomal RNA". It matches the Rfam family "Bacterial small subunit ribosomal RNA", at positions 335 to 526 of the family's 1533-position model. The record is from RNAcentral.
ACUCCUACGGGAGGCAGCGGUGGGGAAUAUUGGACAAUGGGCCACAAGCCUGAUCCAGCAAUUCUGUGUGCACGAUGAAGGUCUUCGGAUUGUAAAGUGCUUUCAGUAGGGAAGAAUAAAUGACGGUACCUACAGAAGAAGCGACGGCUAAAUAUGUGCCAGCAGCCGCGGUAAUAC